This 73-nucleotide transfer RNA is filed under the name Phlebia radiata. Its description in RNAcentral is "tRNA-Pro(CCA)". It matches the Rfam family "tRNA". From Rfam's summary of the family: Transfer RNA (tRNA) molecules are approximately 80 nucleotides in length. The record is from RNAcentral. Lineage: Eukaryota; Fungi; Basidiomycota; Agaricomycetes; Polyporales; Meruliaceae.
AUGAUAGAAGACAAAGUGGUCGCGUCAUUUAAUUUGGGAUUAAAAUAAGUUGGUUCGAUUCCAACCUAUCAUA